Molecule: long non-coding RNA, 812 nt
Organism: Hyla sarda
Lineage: Eukaryota; Metazoa; Chordata; Amphibia; Anura; Hylidae
Exons: 3
Source: RefSeq, a predicted model, not a curated record
AAAUGGGGACGGUCUGAUAUGGAUUUCUUGGACCUGUUACUAAGUGUCGACACGGAAGGAUAUAUCAUGUCUAAUAUUUAUCGGAAAAAGACAUCUACUAACUCUGUCUUACACGCAACUUCCUCUCAUCCGAAACCCCUUGUGGCUAAUAUCCCCGUAGGCCAAUUCCUGCGAUUGAAGCGGAUUUGUUCAUCACCUUCCUUCUUUGAAGAGCAAGCUGCAGACUUAAAAAAUCGCUUCAAGGAGAGAGGAUACAACAAGAAGGACAUCCAGAGAGGAUAUCUCAGAGCCAAAGAAACAUCUAGAACCAAUCUACUGGCCCACACAACGAAGAAACCUGCUGACGAUCAGGGAGCUGAGAAGACGCAUCCGGGAACAUGUCUUGGGCAUUGAAGCUGCUAAAAAUGAAGAUGACAUGAAUCUAUUGAAGACAAUACCAAGACAUUUUAAGGAGUACCACUCACGUGACAGUAGUCUUCUGAAGUUUGGUCUGUGUGUCUUUUAGCUCCUGGAAGAAGUGUCAGCUUUACGUGGACCCGAAGGCACUAGUGAAGCACCUUUUUAUGGCAAGAUGACCUACUGAGUGUGUCAUAAUAUGGCCUUGAUUGUCCCAUUUUAAUAUUUAGUAUGAUACCCCUAGGGGUAUGAUGGGUGGGGCAUGCCUGAUAUAUAUAAAAAUUUUAUCACAUUUAUUCUCAUGAUAACAAUUUUAUAGCUAGAUCAGUAUAUGUAUUUAUAUCUAUUAUAGUUGUUUCUAUAUAUUGCAACUUAUUUUAAUGCACCUUUUUUGAUAACAGUCUAUCUAUAUAGCA